Molecule: long non-coding RNA, 2182 nt
Filed under: Nicotiana tabacum (common tobacco)
Lineage: Eukaryota; Viridiplantae; Streptophyta; Magnoliopsida; Solanales; Solanaceae
Description: long non-coding RNA (NTAB_LNC014813)
Source: RNAcentral
AAUUCUAGUUGGAGCUUCAAACCGUGGCAAGCUGCACCAAAUUUUCGUUCUUGUAAACCCAGACUAGAAAAGAUAUAUAUAUAUAUAUAUAUAUAUAUAUAUAUAUAUAUACAGUGGCGGAUUUAGGGGGGCGGAAGGGGGUUCACCCGAACCCCCUUCGCCGAAAAAUUACACUGUAUAUAUAAGGCAAAUCUGCUUUUUACCUUUAUAUAUUAAGUUUUGAACUCACUUAACACAAUCCAAAAGUGUAGUUAAGUGGUCAAGGGGGUUCAAAAUUUUUAUAAGGUCAUAGGUUCAAUUUCCACUAACUACAAAAAAAAAAAAUUGAACCCCCUCCCUGGAGAUCCUGCCUCCGCCACUGUAUAUAUAUAAUAAAAGUGUGAGAAGAACACCAAUAUUCAAGUCCCAAAUAAAUAAGAAACUUAUGCCAGAUAUCCUAUUACUCGAUAUCAUAUCCCAUAGAAGAACAUAUUUCAGGUACAUGUAAAAAUACAAGUAGCAACAAUCAAUUAUAUGCAGAGUAUGUGCCUUCAGUUUUCAUGUCUUCCUAACAUCCUCUUUAAUGAAGUAAUUGCAUAUAAUUUAUGACCCAUUCUGGUCAAUUGUCUUAUAUAUAGUGUAGGAUAUAAGCUUCUAUAUUAUAAAUGCAUAGCAAAAGUUCUCAUAAGUUAGCCUCUUGUGGCCUAUUCCUUUAGUACAAUGUCUCAAAUUUUACAAUCUUUCAUGUAAUAUUUUCUACAUCACUGUAAACAUGAUAUUGAUGUGUAACAUCUCAUUGUUUAUUUCUUGCUAGACAAUGGUAGUACUACUUACUACGGCAACAUCAUGUGUUACAUCAUCAUCACAAGAGGGUUGGGGUUGAAGUGACCUAACUAUCCAGUAGAAUUGAUUGGAGUAGUCACAACAAUUUUACGUGCUAGUUAUUGUUGUCCCUCCAGCUCUAUCAAUUGUGAAUUAAAUAUUAAAUUGCUUUGGUCUAGCCACUAAUUUCAUCUUAAAAAAUUAAGAAAAUUUCAAAACUUUAAUAAAGGGAGCUUUUGCCACCAAAUCAAUUAGAGAGUAUAUUGUGCAACAACAUAUAGUAAUUUAAUAUAUAGCAUUGACAGAUGAUUAAAGUAAAGAAUUCUAGAUUACCCAAUCCCUUAAAGGGGUACAUCUAAUUAGGUUAACAUUUAUGCAUCAGUCCAUUAGCAGAUGCAUAAGCAGCUUUUUAACACUUUAUAUUGAUAAACUUUUUUCCUGAAUUUAUAAUAUCAAAAUGCAGGAUAGGUAUUUUAGUGCGCAACUACAAUAUAAGAAAUAAAGAUGAGUAAUAAGCACAAAAUUCAUGCAAUAUAUAAACUUGUUUCAAGUUACUAUUGAUAUCUAUGUGCAACGUUCAAUUUCAUGAAUAUCCGUUUUUUUUUAAAACAAUUAUGACAUUUAAGCAAAAGCCAAAAUAACAAAAUUUUGAUAUGAAAAGAUGAUGUUAUUAGAUAGAAUGUUAACAUUAUUCUUUGCUAGCUUAAAGCCAUCAGACGUGAAUGUUCUCCUACACAAAUACAAAUUAUCCUUUGACAUGUAAAAAGUGUUGAAAGCAAAUUUUCUACUCAAUAGUAAGGAGGAACUGCAUAAUAAAUAUGUUGAAGGUUGAUACAUGAGAACUUCCUAACUGUUUGUUCCUUUAGUUCAAAUUGAACCAGGAAUUAGGAUAUUCUAAUGACUCAUACUAUUUCGGCUAAUUAUGCUCAUCUAUGCGGAGUGUUAUUGCAACUAUGCAAUAAUUGCAUUGUCACAGACGAUGUCUUUUAAUUCAGCUUUAUUUGUUCAUAGUUGCAUUAAAAGGACUUUUUGACAAUUGGCAUCAGUCUAUAUAAUUCUCGCUGCCUAAACCUUUUGUUAGCAUGAAUUUUUUCAAUUAUUUGAUCAUUUUUAUGAUUCCCAGAGAGAAAUAGUAAUAAAAAAAAGGAAUGGAAGAAACUAAUAGAUGGUGGAAACAUAGAAUUAUUCUUCCUUCGUAUUAUCAUCAAUUUGUCUGAUGAAAAAGCAAACUGAAAGUAUGAGUGCAAGUCCGUUUAAUGAAAGAAGAAAUAAGUGAGAAAGGUAGGAGUGGCUGAAUUUAUCUGCUACUGAAACAACAACACCAACAACAAUUAAAGAAACGCUUUGAUUAUUGAAUUUGAUGCAGGAUCAACAUGUUACU